This 330-nucleotide unclassified non-coding RNA is filed under the name uncultured Gemmatimonadota bacterium. RNAcentral describes it as "uncultured Gemmatimonadetes bacterium contains 16S-23S intergenic spacer region". The stretch from base 45 to 330 matches the Rfam family "Bacterial small subunit ribosomal RNA", at positions 914 to 1199 of the family's 1533-position model. Lineage: Bacteria; Pseudomonadati; Gemmatimonadota. The record is from RNAcentral.
UCCGGAGUUUCUCCGGCAGUCCCCCAUGAGUGCUCGGCACUACCCGGGGGCCCGCACAAGCAGCGGAGCAUGUGGUUUAAUUCGAUGCAACGCGAAGAACCUUACCUGGGCUUGACAUGCACGUGAAAGCCCCUGGAAACAGGGGCCCUCCUUCGGGACACGUGCACAGGUGCUGCACGGCUGUCGUCAGCUCGUGUCGUGAGAUGUUGGGUUAAGUCCCGCAACGAGCGCAACCCUUGCCCUAUGUUGCCAGCGGGUAAUGCCGGGGACUCAUGGGGAACUGCCGGUGAUAAACCGGAGGAAGGUGGGGAUGACGUAUAGGAGCUCGAC